UGACUAGACUUGCCUAGAUAAUACGGUACAGUGACUGAGAAAAAUGCAUUUAUUUAAUUAAUUAACCUCUGUUUGAUUUGUUAAAAUUAAAUUUUUAAUAGAUUUUGAUAAAAGUGAUGAAAUUUGUGGUUAAAAACUUUCUACUUGUUAAGUUUUACUUAUAUUUUUAUCAAACUUUUUAGCUAAAUUAAAAUAAGGGCUUAAUUUUGUGCAUGUUUAGCGAAGUUUACAAUUAUUUAUAAGAUGGUUAAACUUUAUUUUUAUCUACACAUUUCAUAUGCUUACAAUUUUACCUAUUUUAAGUAUAUAUUCCUUAUGACCCACUUAUUAUAUGUAUAAAAAGUGCAUUAUUAAAUUAGUCAUUGACGGAGAAAGCCAGGAAAUAACUCAACAACUGAGUCUUUUAUUGCUGAAAGACUUUGGUACCCAAGUUAUUUUAACCCCAAUUUAGGACCAUCAUUGAGAAAAAUGAUAUUUUGAAUAGUGAUUUUUUAAAGAACGUGUUAUUAAAAUAGCAAAAAAAAAUUGUGUACGUGCAGAAUAUUUUAUUGUGUGAGUGUAUGAUUGAUAAUGAAUAUAAGAAUUAAAUAGUUUUGUUUGAGAGGAAUAAGAAUAGACAACGAGAAAAAAAAAGUUAGAUCAAUGUAUUUAGUUUAGCUAAAAAGCAUUGUUAAGUAAACUAAUCUUCUAGGAUCCUCACCAACGAGAAUUCUAUGAGAAAAGCUAAUUUCUAACGAUUUACAUAUUUAGACUAGAUUCAUUAUGUUAUCAAAAUAGGAAAUAAUUUGAUAUUACAUUUUGAGGCUACUAAUACAAGUCUCAAGUAAUAACUUAAACUUUCUACUUGAGGUAACACAGCUUUUAUUAGUGGAAAUAUUUUGUUUUCACAAUUAUGACAAGAUCUGUACCAAUCAGUGGCCGAUGCAGGUGGGGUCAGUAGGGCCCCUAGUCCCACUGAAAUUUGAGAAAAACAAAAUUCUAUGAUUUUUCAAAUUAUUUUUCACUUUUAAUAUUAUCAUAUUUUGUGCUUUUGAAAUUUUUAAGGUCUCAUAGACUGUAAAACAUUUCUUGAUGCAUUUCCUGGGCUAUUUAAAAAUUAACAUCUGGUUUGCCAACCUUUAUUGAAAUCCAUGUCCACGAAAUAAAAGUUGAAAUUUUAUCGAUUCCUUGAGCGGAGCAGAGAGAAGCAAUGAGAGCAAGGGAGAGAAAAAGAAAGAAUUUCCAAUGACAAAAAUGCAAAGCUUUGAGAAAGAAUGUAAAAGAGGUUUCGUAAUCACCCGAAGCAUCCUCAAAUUUCCGUGCGCAUAAGACAAUCAGUGGCUGCCUACCUGAUAUUUAGAUUGAUUUUUUGAUAGUCUCUGAGGAAGGAAUUUUAUGCUAGCAAAGGUGGUUGGAACAAGACGUAGUCUGAUGAUGUUCUUCAGAGAGAGUAAGUCGUAAGUAUUGUUGUGAAGCUCUCCUUACUUUUUUGAGGGAAAUGUCUAUUUAUAGAGCUGUAUGCUGAUGUGGCCAUGUGCCAACUCACGCUAACUGUAGCACAAGAACGCACUUCAAACAAGCAACUCAAUCCAAGUUAAGAUUUGCUAUCCAAAGUUGGUUGUUCUAAUCGAUCGAGGAAUUCCCAUGCUAAGGAGGAUCCCUUUAUUGCCAUGGCGCUUUUCACUAAGUCAUGAUGAUGACCAAAGAAAUAAAAAUAGUUUGAGCCAAUUUUAUCCAGGGGCACAUUCAAGCCCCUUAGAGGUGAUCCAUGACUUGACAUACCAUUGUAGCCAAAUUUCACCUAAAAUAUUCGUAGUCUUGGUGAUAAAUCUAGUAUAUAACACGAAUUUAUUUAUUCAAACUUGAUUAUCAACGAUAACACAUCAAUUGGAGUACAACCAUAAAUAUAAACGAUAGUUUCAUGGUUUGCCUGACCGUCCGCAUACGUUGUUAUAGUUGCACGGUCGCUUGCGAAACUGUGUAUUUCUACCUGUUCCAAAAACUGGUUUAUUUCUAAGGGUAUGUUUGAUUACAUUUAUUUUCCAUGGAAAAUAUCAAUUUUCCAUCCAAAUUUUCACUUGGAGUGUUUGAUUGCUAUUUUUUUCCAUGGAAAACAUUUUCCAACUUUUGAAAAUAUGCCUAAUUUUCCUUGUUUUUAAGGAAAAUAUUUUUCUUGGGUAGAGGUGGUUUUUAUUUUCCACAAAAGAUGGAAAAUAUUUUCUUUUCUAGGUAAUAUUUUUCUUGUCGAUCAAACACACUCUAAAUGUCUUUGGAGCUGUCAGAGCAGUUGGUGGCGAUCUAUUAGCAACAGCCGAAUGAGCAUGAGCCGUAGGAUUCCCAUGCACACUGCCUUUUAUUGCAUAAAAACAAACAUGAAAUCCAUCAAGUAAGAGCUAUAUAUAGAUUAAUAAUUAUUAAAUCUUAGUACUCAUAUGUAAAUUGCUAAAGGAAAAAGGCAAGAAAGACGGGAAAAUGGUGGAGGAUUCUGCAUGUUUAUUAAGUACAACGUAGUAAUACUUAGCACUUAGUACUUUAGACGAGGAUAAAGAGCCUAACCUCCAAUGUAAGAAAUUACAAAGAAAUAUGAAAUACUAAGAAAAAAAAUGUUAAUAAACUUGAACUCGAGUCACGACGCACCUUUUGAAUUUUGGUAAAGCUCUCUAGUAGUUGAUGGAAAGAACAAGAUUGAAAGGAUGAAGAAAAAAAUAAGGAUUUUCAUUAAUCUCUUUUGGAUGAAUAUGAGAAUUGAAGAGAGUGUUGUUCCUUUAUGCCU
RNAcentral lists this long non-coding RNA (2752 nucleotides) under Olea europaea subsp. europaea. Lineage: Eukaryota; Viridiplantae; Streptophyta; Magnoliopsida; Lamiales; Oleaceae. The record is from RNAcentral.